UCUGGUAAAAAUGAUGACUGAUCUUUUUUCCCCUGCAGAUCGACACUGUUGACCUCCUAUAAUAUAAAUAAGCCAAAUGAUCUGAUCAACCAGA
Molecule: small nucleolar RNA, 94 nt
Organism: Myxocyprinus asiaticus (Chinese sucker)
Lineage: Eukaryota; Metazoa; Chordata; Actinopteri; Cypriniformes; Catostomidae
Product: small nucleolar SNORD12/SNORD106
Exons: 1
Source: RefSeq, a predicted model, not a curated record